ACACUCUCUCUCACCCUAUCACCAACCAGGCAGCUUUCUCUCUCUCUCUCUCUCUCACACACACACACACACACACACAUGCACACACACACACACAGACACUCUUAAAUUGACUAAUGAAGGUUGCUCCAUUUGAAUGAAGCGACUUAAGACAAACGUAGGGGUCUGGACGAAUGGUUGGGGCUCGAGACGAACAGUGAGGGCUUAGGAUAAGCUUUAGGGCCUCGGGAGUCGAGUUAUGUUUGGGUGGAUCACGGUGGUGGUGGUGAGGGGCUGCUACGACAGUUGGUAUUGGUGGUGGGCUCUUGGCUGUGAGACAAAGAAGUUUGGGGCUGGGUCUGGGCUGUGAGGUCUUGUGGAACCUAUUUGAGUUGCGACGCUCCCGUAUUUGAGCUGCGAUGCUUGCACAGACAGAGAGCUGGGAAUUUCAUGAGUGCACAGGUGCUCCAACAUUGAGUCGCAGUGCGCAUCCCCAAAAUUGAACCCAGAAAUUGACACAGGCCAUGAUGCUACACCUUAUUCGCCGUAGUGCUUCCUCGAGAUUGCUUUAACCCAUUUUUUUAGAGUUUUCCCUUCACUUCCUAACUUUCUCUCUUCACAAUUCGAACUCCCUACCUCCAAUUCACCAUUUUUUUAGGCCAAACCUUCCAAUCUCUCCAUAAAACCUCUAAUAAUCCUCCUAUAAACUUUAUUCAAUCACUUUUCCACCAUUACUUUAGCCUAAAUUACCUUUAAACCUCAUUUUUUCCAUUCAUAAACCCUAAAUUCAAAUUUCGGGGGAGAUUUUGCAAUCUUUGGGAAGCUUGAGGAAUUGAGAGUAUCUUUCAUCAUGUUUCAUUGUGGAAUUUAUGGAAAACAAUUGAUAAAUGACCGCGUUUGGCUUCAAAAAGAUGCGAUUUGGUGAAAAAAAAGGCAUUUGAGCCGCGACGCUGCGAGGACGAAUCUUGAGAAAUUGAUGGCCGCAACGCUACCUUUGAGAGUCGUGGAGCUGUUGGUUGGAGAAUUUGGGCCGCGACACAGGCAUAUUAGAGUCGCGGCGCUUGUUGAGUCAGAGAUGAGGCGGACUUCGGUUUUUGGACACAGGCCACGACGGUUCAUUAUAGGGCUGCGACGCUUGAGCGGUCAACAUGCAGAUUAGGGUAUUUUAAGCAAGGGAAAAAGUAGAAUUUCACGUUCAAAGCACAAACUACUAUGGGUUUAUACAUUUUUGGACCCUGUGUUUUGUCCCAUUACCUGUUUGGACCCUGUGUUUUGAAAAAUUACUUUUUGGACCCUAUGUUUUGUAAAAUGGUUAAAAUAGAACCCUAAACUCAAUUUUGAUAAAGAAAAAAUUGAAUAUAACAACACAGUUUUUAAGCAGAAUGAUUUUAUUUUUGUUCUGGAUUGUUAGUUUGGUAAAUUAUUUGUGAUUUUAGUUGAGAAAACAUUGCCCAAAAUCGGGUUUAGGGUUCCAUUUUAACCAUUUUACAAAACAUAGGGUCCAAAAAAUAAUUUAUCAAAACAUAGGGUCCAAACAGGUAAUGAGACAAAACACAGGGUCUAAAAAUGUAUAAACCCAGCUACUAUUUAUGCAUCAUUAUGACGAUUUCUGAAGAAAAGAAAAGCCCUAAGGAGGAGACUCAAGGAACACACUGAGUAGGCAAAAACUCGGAGAUCAACUAAUUUUAUCAUUUUUUUUCACCUUUUACUUUUACUUUCUCGUGUAGUGAUGUUGAUGGACCCAAAACGGGUAUGUUUAAAUAUUUAUAAAUCGCAAGCGCACGAAUCGUUCAUAUAGAAUAGUGAUCGUGUAAGCAAGG
This is a long non-coding RNA of Humulus lupulus (European hop), 1799 nucleotides long. RefSeq lists it as uncharacterized. The record is from RefSeq and is a predicted model, not a curated record. The transcript has 4 exons. Lineage: Eukaryota; Viridiplantae; Streptophyta; Magnoliopsida; Rosales; Cannabaceae.